GGGAGCAUAUUUCAGCAAAGAAAAAUUACAAAAUGCAGACUUAUAGAGCAAUAUUUUAUUCACUAUUCCCUCGAAAUCAAGUUGUCCGCAAGGGCACGUGGGUUCGAAUCCCACCGCUUCCGCCA
RNAcentral lists this transfer RNA (125 nucleotides) under Flavonifractor plautii. RNAcentral describes it as "tRNA-OTHER". Lineage: Bacteria; Bacillati; Bacillota; Clostridia; Eubacteriales; Oscillospiraceae. The record is from RNAcentral.